CGACGACUCUUUUACACUUGUGUAUAUCUAUCUAUAAUUAUGUAUAUAAUCAAAGAAUUAUGAAUCUAUUGUAGGGAUGUGAAUGCACACAUACUAGACUGACGUCGCGAAUACCAGUCAGUAUGUGUAGAUAGGAUGUAACUCUUACUCACUCAUAGGUUCCUAUGUCAGUGAUCAGAUCCUCAAUAUGGCUUUCCUUACACCUUUCCUUUCACCUCAUGGAUACGAAUUACUUCUCCAUCUGUAAGUUAAGAAACAUAAAUGAACUACUGAUUGGUGAUACAACUACCACCUACUUGGUGACACAUCACCCUGCAGAAUGUAAGCUUAUCUCUCUUAAUGACUCUGGCUGAACACCAGCGUAUGUGAUCUUAUUCAUUACUCUCAGGUUUUACUUUAUGUCAGUUAAUUGCCCUUUUAUACAUGACCCUUUCAAUGGUGUGCUUAUCAGCACUUAAGUAACUAAGUAAGACUUAUUCAUUAGUGUGCAUGCCAGCACUUGGAUGGCCAAGAAGGCCCUAUUCAUCAGUGUGCCCGCCAGCACUUGGGUGGCCAAGAAAGCCUCUUAUAACAGUGUGCACGCCAGCACUUAGGUGGCCAAGAAAGCCUCUUAUAACAGUGUGCACGCCAGCACUUAGGUGGUCAAGGAAGACCUCUUCAACGGUGUGCACGCCAGCACUUACGUGGCCAAGAAAGCCUCUUAUAACAGUGUGCACGCGAGCACUUAGGUGGUCAAGGAAGACCUCUUCAACGGUGUGCACGCCAGCACUUACGUGGC
RNAcentral lists this long non-coding RNA (778 nucleotides) under Pectinophora gossypiella (pink bollworm). Its description in RNAcentral is "uncharacterized LOC126370183". Lineage: Eukaryota; Metazoa; Arthropoda; Insecta; Lepidoptera; Gelechiidae. The record is from RNAcentral.